This 575-nucleotide ribosomal RNA is filed under the name uncultured bacterium. RNAcentral's name for it is "bacterial SSU rRNA". It matches the Rfam family "Bacterial small subunit ribosomal RNA", at positions 353 to 945 of the family's 1533-position model. The record is from RNAcentral.
AGUGGGGGAUAUUGCACAAUGGGCGAAAGCCUGAUGCAGCAACGCCGCGUGAGGGAAGAAGGUUUUCGGAUUGUAAACCUCUGUCCUCUGUGAAGAUAAUGACGGUAGCAGAGGAGGAAGCUCCGGCUAACUACGUGCCAGCAGCCGCGGUAAUACGUAGGGAGCAAGCGUUGUCCGGAAUUACUGGGUGUAAAGGGUGCGUAGGCGGCACCACAAGUCAGGCGUGAAAUCUAUGGGCUCAACCCAUAAACUGCGCUUGAAACUGUGGUACUUGAGUGAAGUAGAGGCAGGCGGAAUUCCCGGUGUAGCGGUGAAAUGCGUAGAGAUCGGGAGGAACACCAGUGGCGAAGGCGGCCUGCUGGGCUUUAACUGACGCUGAGGCACGAAAGCGUGGGUAGCAAACAGGAUUAGAUACCCUGGUAGUCCACGCUGUAAACGAUGAUUACUAGGUGUGGGGGGACUGACCCCUUCCGUGCCGGAGUUAACACAAUAAGUAAUCCACCUGGGGAGUACGGCCGCAAGGUUGAAACUCAAAGGAAUUGACGGGGGCCCGCACAAGCAGUGGAGUAUGUGGU